This 374-nucleotide unclassified non-coding RNA is filed under the name fungal sp. Its description in RNAcentral is "partial internal transcribed spacer region". The stretch from base 1 to 46 matches the Rfam family "Eukaryotic small subunit ribosomal RNA", at positions 1786 to 1831 of the family's 1831-position model. The record is from RNAcentral. Lineage: Eukaryota; Fungi.
AAGUCGUAACAAGGUUUCCGUAGGUGAACCUGCGGAAGGAUCAUUAACACGUAUCCACGUUAACCAAUGUGAACCGUUUUCGCCCUCCCUUUGCUGCAGAUGAGUUGGAAUUCGUGAAAGCGCUGAUGAGGAGUUCGCAAGGACUCAACUUUCACGAAACACUUCGGCUUGCCGAGACAACUGGAUUGCAAUGAAGGCUCCUUCUUGAAGCUUUGAUUUCCAUCAUAAUCGUGGCUUUGAGAAAAUUAUAUUUACAAUUAUAACACUUUUUUGCUAGUUGACUUUUUUAUGUUGUUCUUUAUGCAAAUAAGGAUCACACGUUUAUUAAUUGAACGUUAAAAAUACAACUCUUAGCAAUGGAUGUCUAGGUUCUC